This 1313-nucleotide long non-coding RNA is filed under the name Sus scrofa (pig). RNAcentral's name for it is "lncRNA (ENSSSCG00050057020.1)". The record is from RNAcentral. Lineage: Eukaryota; Metazoa; Chordata; Mammalia; Artiodactyla; Suidae.
CGGGGAUCUGCAUUCUGCUGGACGUCUUGGCCAGAGAGGGGCUCUCUCUCUGCUUGGGGUUGGAGCAGCGGAGCAGACGCUGGGCGUGGAGGAUUUCCUGGGGGAAAAUCUGGCUUCCCGGGACGCUAUUGUGCCAGUGCCGAAGCCUCUGGAACUCCAGCGGAUUCCCUGCGCUGGGCGGAGACCUGGCAGCGCUCACUCAGCCUUGUCUGCUCCCAGGAGAGCCCGAGGGUCACCCCGGAGGUGACCAGGUGCCCCUCCCCCCUCUCCGCCUCCUCCCGCCCAUCCCAGGGUCAGGGGAGGUGGGUGCCCGACCCCCUGCCCCGCAAUUGCCCAGAUACAGGUGUGCACUUCAUGGAACUCUCGAACCACACGGGACAGAGGAGGACAGCGAGCUCGUGUCCCCAGAUGUCCCCAGUGCCAGCAACUUCCCACCCACUGGGCUCCACCCUCUGACCACCGUGUGGGGACCUUCAGAGACUGAGGGUGUGCUAGAAGCCCAGAGUGGGGGGCAGCAAGAGCUCAUGGAGGGGGGCGUGGGGGGGCACUGCCUGGCAUCAACUCCUGCCCCCACCCCCUUCCGCCCUUGGCCCCAGAGACCUUGGGGAGUUUCCUUGUGGGUCUUUUUCUCCUUCGGCCCCAUGCCCUGGGCUGCUGGGUGGAGGGAAGGGGCGGCUGGCACACAGCAGGAGCUCUUGCAGUGUCGACCCUCUCUUUCUCCUUCUCCCAUUCAUUUGGAACUUCCCAGACACCGGGCCUGACAGUGGAGCAGUGACAGAACAGACCUGAGGGACCUGUCCUUUCCUGAAAGUUACUACUUAGGUGGAAUGACAGUCACUCAGUUAUACUAAUAAUUUUUUUUUUCUUUUUAGGGCCACACCUGCAGCAAUGGAAGUUCCCAGGCUAGGGGUCGAAUCAGAGCUACAGCUGCCCGCCUACGCCAGAGCCACAGCAACGUGGGAUCCGAGCCGCAUCUGCAACCUACACUGCAGCUUGUGGCAAUGACGGAUCCUUAACUCCCUGAGCAAGGCCAGGGAUAGAACCCACAUCCUUACNGCAAUGCCGGAUCCUUAACCCCCUGAGCAAGGCCAGGAAUAGAACCCACAUCCUUAUGGAUGCUAGUCGGAUUCUUAACCUGCUGAGCCACACGGGGAACUCCCCACUUAUACUAAUAACUUAGUCAUUGCCGUUGUGAUACAAGGGAGACUCUAAAGGGGCCUGAAAGAGCAAAGCCAAGAAGACUGGCCUUUUGGGGGAAUUACCCCGGGGGAGGGACGAGGAGGGUCGCCUCAGCGAGGCCAGUUUUAAAACAG